CGGCGGACGGGUGAGUAACACGUGGAUAACCUACCUAUAAGACUGGGAUAACUUCGGGAAACCGGAGCUAAUACCGGAUAAUAUUUUGAACCGCAUGGUUCAAAAGUGAAAGACGGUCUUGCUGUCACUUAUAGAUGGAUCCGCGCUGCAUUAGCUAGUUGGUAAGGUAACGGCUUACCAAGGCAACGAUGCAUAGCCGACCUGAGAGGGUGAUCGGCCACACUGGAACUGAGACACGGUCCAGACUCCUACGGGAGGCAGCAGUAGGGAAUCUUCCGCAAUGGGCGAAAGCCUGACGGAGCAACGCCGCGUGAGUGAUGAAGGUCUUCGGAUCGUAAAACUCUGUUAUUAGGGAAGAACAUAUGUGUAAGUAACUGUGCACAUCUUGACGGUACCUAAUCAGAAAGCCACGGCUAACUACGUGCCAGCAGCCGCGGUAAUACGUAGGUGGCAAGCGUUAUCCGGAAUUAUUGGGCGUAAAGCGCGCGUAGGCGGUUUUUUAAGUUUGAUGUGAAAGCCCACGGUUCAACCGUGGAGGGUCAUUGGAAACUGGAAAACUUGAGUGCAGAAGAGGAAAGUGGAAUUCCAUGUGUAGCGGUGAAAUGCGCAGAGAUAUGGAGGAACACCAGUGGCGAAGGCGACUUUCUGGUCUGUAACUGACGCUGAUGUGCGAAAGCGUGGGGAUCAAACAGGAUUAGAUACCCUGGUAGUCCACGCCGUAAACGAUGAGUGCUAAGUGUUAGGGGGUUUCCGCCCCUUAGUGCUGCAGCUAACGCAUUAAGCACUCCGCCUGGGGAGUACGACCGCAAGGUUGAAACUCAAAGGAAUUGACGGGGACCCGCACAAGCGGUGGAGCAUGUGGUUUAAUUCGAAGCAACGCGAAGAACCUUACCAAAUCUUGACAUCCUUUGACAACUCUAGAGAUAGAGCCUUCCCCUUCGGGGGACAAAGUGACAGGUGGUGCAUGGUUGUCGUCAGCUCGUGUCGUGAGAUGUUGGGUUAAGUCCCGCAACGAGCGCAACCCUUAAGCUUAGUUGCCAUCAUUAAGUUGGGCACUCUAAGUUGACUGCCGGUGACAAACCGGAGGAAGGUGGGGAUGACGUCAAAUCAUCAUGCCCCUUAUGAUUUGGGCUACACACGUGCUACAAUGGACAAUACAAAGGGCAGCGAAACCGCGAGGUCAAGCAAAUCCCAUAAAGUUGUUCUCAGUUCGGAUUGUAGUCUGCAACUCGACUACAUGAAGCUGGAAUCGCUAGUAAUCGUAGAUCAGCAUGCUACGGUGAAUACGUUCCCGGGUCUUGUACACACCGCCCGUCACACC
This 1321-nucleotide ribosomal RNA is filed under the name Staphylococcus aureus. RNAcentral describes it as "bacterial SSU rRNA". It matches the Rfam family "Bacterial small subunit ribosomal RNA", at positions 96 to 1403 of the family's 1533-position model. Lineage: Bacteria; Bacillati; Bacillota; Bacilli; Caryophanales; Staphylococcaceae. The record is from RNAcentral.